ACACUCCUGCGGGAGGCAGCAGUGGGGAAUAUUGCACAAUGGGCGCAAGCCUGAUGCAGCGACGCCGCGUGGGGGAUGAAGGCCUUCGGGUUGUAAACUCCUUUCGCUAGGGACGAAGCUUUUUUGUGACGGUACCUAGAUAAGAAGCACCGGCUAACUACGUGCCAGCAGCCGCGGUAAUACGUAGGGUGCGAGCGUUGUCCGGAAUUACUGGGCGUAAAGGGCUCGUAGGUGGUUUGUCGCGUCGUCUGUGAAAUUCUGGGGCUUAACUCCGGGCGUGCAGGCGAUACGGGCAUAACUUGAGUGCUGUAGGGGUAACUGGAAUUCCUGGUGUAGCGGUGAAAUGCGCAGAUAUCAGGAGGAACACCGAUGGCGAAGGCAGGUUACUGGGCAGUUACUGACGCUGAGGAGCGAAAGCAUGGGUAGCGAACAGGAUUAGAAACCCCUGUAGUCCC
Molecule: ribosomal RNA, 455 nt
Filed under: uncultured organism
Description: partial 16S ribosomal RNA
Rfam family: Bacterial small subunit ribosomal RNA
Source: RNAcentral